AGUACUUGCUGUAAUCGGCCCCGUUACGGUCUUGUAUGGGAGGGCUGAAGGAUAUCUACCUUGCUUGAAUUUCAAAGACCCUGCCUUGGGACCAUCUGAUAGUUUAUGAUGUCCCUCUAUCUGUUGUAAAAGCAAUGGCUGAACCAACUCAUUCUUCUGAAGGAGCAGAGAUACCAAAGGAAAAAAGCAGGAUCUGUGCUGUCGUUUGUGGUGCUGCUGGUAGGAGAUGAAUUCAGGAAGUGCAGCUGUUACAGCACCUGGAGUUGGAGACUAUGCAACUAGAAGCCUUUCUGGAGUGGAAGCAACUGGAAGCGGUUUAUUGGCAGUGGAUGGAAACCGUGUUAGAUAACAUGGCUGAAGAGGGAAGCCUGCGCACGGUGCGGGACGCUCCCGUGGAGACCAGCAGGCUGCAGGAGGGGGCCACGUGCUGCCCCUGGGCUGAAAGCAUGACUGUGCAAAUCGACAGGUUGUCUGGGGAGAUGACAGCUCUCCACAGCCAGCUGCAGGAGCUGGUAGCACGCCGAAGGUCUGCCUGGUGUCAGAAGUCUUCUCCAGGCACUUGCUGUCAGUCACAGUCAGAUGGGGUGCUGGUCAUGCAGGUCUCUGGUGUGGUCUGACUUAGAUUUGCUUUUAUGGCAAAACGGAGAUGAAUGUUGC
RNAcentral lists this long non-coding RNA (657 nucleotides) under Gallus gallus (chicken). Its description in RNAcentral is "long non-coding RNA NONGGAT008785". The record is from RNAcentral. Lineage: Eukaryota; Metazoa; Chordata; Aves; Galliformes; Phasianidae.